Molecule: non-coding RNA, 93 nt
Organism: Mycena latifolia
Lineage: Eukaryota; Fungi; Basidiomycota; Agaricomycetes; Agaricales; Mycenaceae
Source: the annotation of a GenBank genome assembly
GGCCUGAUGGUGAAACGGUAUCCCAUUCUUCCAUCAUACAAAGUAUUCAUCUCAGUUGUCGGGAAGUUCCUUGUUCGACUCAAGGUCAGGCCA